Long non-coding RNA from Bos taurus (domestic cattle), 2001 nucleotides. The record is from Ensembl. NCBI's taxonomy places the organism in Eukaryota, Metazoa, Chordata, Mammalia, Artiodactyla, Bovidae.
CUCCAGUCGUCUUGCCUGAAAAAUCCCAUGGACAGAGGAGCCUGGAGGGCAAAAGAGUCAGAUACCACUUGGUGACUAAACAACAGUUCUGACCAGUGUGAGGUGGUAUCUCAUUGUAGCUUUGAUCUGCAUUUCUAUACUAACUAAGAUGGUGAGCAUCUUUUCAUGCCAUUUUCAGAUCGGUUGCUUGUUUUGUUCCUGUUGUGUUGUAUGAGCUGUUUGUAUAUUUUGGAAAUGAAGCCCUUUUUGGUUGCAUCAUUUGCAUUUUCUCUCAGUCCGAGGUAGUCUUUUCAUUUUGCUGAUGGUUUCCUUUGCUGUACAAAAGCUCGUAAGUUUGAUUAGGUCCCGUUUGUUUAUUUUUGCUUUUAUUUCUAUUGCCUUGGGAGGCUGACCUAAGAAAACAUUGCUACAAUUUAUGUCAGAGAAUGUUUUUGCCUAUGUUCUCUUCUAGGAGUUUUAUGGUGUCAUGUCUUGUAUUUAAGUCUUUAAUCCAUUUUGAGUUUAUUUUUGUGUAUGGUCUGAGGGAGGUUCUAACUUCACCGAUUUACAUGUGGCUGUCCACCUUACCCAACACCACUUACUGAAGAGACCAUCUUUUUUCCAUUGUAUAUUUUUGCCUUCUUUGUAGAAGAUUAAUUGACUGUAGGUGGUGGUCACCUCUUUUUACAGAGCCUUUAUAAGAAAAGACAUGAGCUUACUUCCUCUCUCAACUCUCUCUGCCAGGUGAUGAUACAAUGAGAAGACAGCUAUCUGUGAAUCAGGAAGAGGGUUCUUGCCAGAAGGGAUCUGUUGGUGUUUUGAUCUCGAACUUCCAGCCUCCAGAAAUGGGAGAGAUAAAUGUCUAUUGUUUAAGCACCUUUCCCCCUAAUCUAUGAUAGUUUGUUACAGCAGCCUGAAUUGAAUGAAGUGGUGGUGCUGGGGGUCGGGGGUAGCGAGUAGCCGUGGAUUAGGAUGGGAAGGUCUGCAUGGCUUGACAUGAGGCAAGGGUGAAGUUCCCCAAACUCCAAAAGCCCAGAUCGCUCACAUCUGUGUCCUGCUCUGUUUCCUAGGCAACAUCACAUUUGGUCCUUCUAGCAGCCUUUUAAGUAGAUAAGAUGUUUCGAUUUUACAGAUGAGGAAACAGCCUCCAGUAGUUCCACAGCCUUUGCCCAAGUCAUGUGGGGUGAGGCAGGGAUUCAAACCUAGGUCUUCUGAUCUCUUCUGACCCCUAGACCAGAAUAUCAUGUUGACUGUGGAGCAGAAACACAGCUGAGCUAUUAUCAUCCUGCCUUAAGAGACGGGGGCACGGAGGCACAGAUGGUCAAGCUUUGCUUCCUGGCUCUGGAGUGUGCCAGAGGUGAGGACAGAACCUCAGAGGUCUGGCUCCUGCAUGACUUUCUUCUAUUUCAUCCAAUUGCUUCCUUCUAGCCAGGCCCGGAUUUCCUUACCUAGCAGUUGGCAUGCCCUCAGGUAGGGGCUUAAACCAUGGCAACACACAUGUCCCACUCAGACUGGGGACAAACGCUGUCGUUCCUUUGGGGCCAUGUUGUCUCCUUCUUUUGUCCUGCAGCAGUCCUUGGCCCUGGGAAAUCCCAGGCAAAGUGUAUCAUCUCUCUGGCCUCAGUGAGGUCCUCUGUGAAAUGGGCGGACGGCUGACCCUCAUGCCUCCAUCCUAGCAUCCUGUGUGGCUCUGGUCUGUAUCCAGAGGCUGUGCUCAGGGUCCAUCCACACGCUGCAUCCUCAGAGAGGAAACCAGCUGCCUGGGAUGUUGUCAGUCACAGCUGCAGUUGAAUAAAUUAAAUCAUGAGCAGGAGGAGGACAGCACUCCUGAUGUCGGGCUCCUGAGAGGGCAGGGGUGCUGCCUGUCUCCUGGGCCCUCCCCAUCUCUCCUACCACUCUGCUCCAAACCGUGUCUUCCUCCUCUCCCUGGAGCCAGCCCAGCGCCCGCCUUCAGGAAGCUUCCUCCAGGACUGGUGUCCUCAUGACAAGAGAUUUGAACACAGACAUGCACAGGAGGGAAAC